AGCGGCGGACGGCUGAGUAACACGUAGGAACGUACCCCAAAGUGAGGGAUAAGCACCAGAAAUGGUGUCUAAUACCGCAUGUGGCCCACGGGCUAAAGCUUUAUGCGCUUUGGGAACGGCCUGCGUAAGAUUAGCUUGUUGGUGAGGUAAUGGCUCACCAAGGCGACGAUCUUUAGCUGGUCUGAGAGGAUGACCAGCCAGACUGGGACUGAGACACGGCCCAGACUCCUACGGGAGGCAGCAGUAGGGAAUUUUCCACAAUGGGCGAAAGCCUGAUGGAGCAACGCCGCGUGCAGGAUGAAGGCCUUCGGGUUGUAAACUGCUUUUACGAGUGAAGAUUAUGACGGUAGCUCGUGAAUAAGGAUCGGCUAACUCCGUGCCAGCAGCCGCGGUCAUACGGAGGACCCAAGCGUUAUCCGGAAUUACUGGGCGUAAAGAGUGCGUAGGUGGCAUUGUAAGUAGGUAGUGAAAGCGUUCGGCUCAACCGGAUAAACAUUAUCUAAACUGCAAAGCUAGAGGAUGAGAGAGGUUAUUGGAAUUCCCUGUGUAGGAGUGAAUCCGUAGAUAUCGGGAAGACACGAUGUCGUAGCAGGAUAACUGGCUCCAUUUUUCUGUG
RNAcentral lists this ribosomal RNA (616 nucleotides) under uncultured bacterium. RNAcentral describes it as "bacterial SSU rRNA". It matches the Rfam family "Bacterial small subunit ribosomal RNA", at positions 94 to 750 of the family's 1533-position model. The record is from RNAcentral.